GCCGGAAAUACGCAAAGGGGGUUCCGGUGCCGCACAGGUUCCGGCGACUAAGGCGGCAAAAUGGAGGAGACGCCUCACAACUGCCCCGGAACCGGCAGCGCCCAGGCCGGCCGAGGGGCCGCCUGUCAAGGGUGCCCCAACCAGCGGCUGUGCGCUUCAGGCGCCGGCGAGGCUCCGGACCCAGCCAUAGAGGAAAUCAAAGAGAAAAUGAAGACCGUGAAACACAAAAUCUUGGUGUUGUCUGGGAAAGGCGGCGUUGGGAAAAGCACGUUCAGCGCCCACCUUGCUCACGCCCUAGCGGAGGAUGAAAACACGCAGGUUGCUCUUCUAGACAUCGAUAUAUGUGGGCCGUCCAUUCCAAAGAUAAUGGGAUUGGAAGGAGAACAGGUGCACCAGAGUGGCUCGGGCUGGUCUCCAGUGUUCCUGGAAGACAACCUGGGGGUGAUGUCAGUGGGUUUCUUACUCAGCAGCCCCGACGACGCUGUCAUCUGGAGAGGACCCAAGAAGAACGGCAUGAUCAAGCAGUUCCUCCGCGAUGUGGACUGGGGAGAGGUCGACUACCUCAUCGUGGACACCCCCCCUGGGACGUCGGACGAGCACCUCUCGGUCGUCCAGUACCUGGCCGCCGCGCACAUCGAUGGCGCCGUGAUCAUCACCACCCCUCAGGAGGUGUCCCUGCAGGAUGUCCGGAAAGAAAUCAGCUUCUGCCACAAGGUGAAGCUGCCCGUCAUCGGGGUGGUAGAGAACAUGAGCGGCUUCGUCUGCCCCAAGUGCAAGAAAGAGUCUCAGAUAUUCCCGCCCACAACGGGGGGUGCAGAGGCCAUGUGCCAGGACCUGAAGAUACCGCUCCUCGGCAAAGUGCCUCUGGACCCGCACAUAGGGAAGAGUUGUGAUGAAGGACGGUCUUUUUUGGUUGACGCGCCGGAUUCACCAGCUACGGUAGCCUACAGAAGCAUCAUUCAAAUGGCUCCGGCUCCGUAUUCCUAAGAAUGUAUCAGCAGUUCCAGCCAGAGCACCUCUUCGCUCAAAUCGACCACCUGCACCAGGACAGCCACCACCGGGCGCCGCGGCAUCACGGGGGCCUCACCUUCACAGACCAGAAAUCGAAGGACAGAAGGAGGAGCACGGUGACGAAGCAGCCCACAAAGCUUCUGCUGAACCAGUCGCAGCCCACGCUGUGGUUUCCUGAAAUAAAACACAGAAAAAAUUCCAAUUGUUGGAAAGUUCUGCUUAGUUGGGAGGUAUUAUUAUUGUCAUUCAAUCAAAUUACUAUUAUUCGCACAACGCCCAAAGCAAGUAGAAAAUGAUGCCUGUUGCACUUUCAAAUAUUGCUUUAAUCCUGUCUUAUGCAGGCUGCUCUCUGGACAACCCUCCAAAGCCUCAUGCAGUCUCUCUCUGGAAUUUGCCCAGCCUUUGCCCCCAGCUAGCGCUAAUGUGGCCGCAGACCAGUUUUCUAGUUUUGCGAGUUUUCUAGUUUUGAGAGUUUUGAAGGCUAUGGCUUAAGCCUGUCCAUUCUUCCCUGCCAUGGGGUCCUCCAUCCUGCCAGCAUUCUCUCCUGCCACCUCCGCAGUUGCAGAGCAAACACACACACCGAUGCCACCUCCACCUCUCAAUGCCACUGGCUUCCAAUUCCACCCUCCCAGGCACCCACCUGGUCGUCCCUUGAGAGGUGCCCAACUGCCAGGGUUCCAGUCCUGGCUCCAACCUCAGAGUCUAAGCUACAUAACCCCUCAGCCUCAGUCUCUGCUUCUGUACAAUGGGUGUGCGAGCAGCAGCCACUUCCUAGGAUACUGAACAGAUCAAGUGGAGCUGGUGAGUAUGAAGUGCUAGAAACACAGGCCGUGCUCGGUAACUGCAAGCAGCUGUUGUUAUCUCAGCCCUCGGAGUCACUCGAAACUGUUCCACCUCGAGGAGCCACACUGGAAAAUUCCCCUUCUGACCACAACUUUCCCCCUCUCAUUCCCCGGGGGCACUUUUCUUCUCAGGAUUCCCCCAAGACUCCAGAUUCCAUAUUCCCCUGCCCCGAUGCUUUUGCUGAAGAACCACCUUCAUUCCUCAACUUUAAUACGGAGAGUUUUCCACUGGGUCCCCAACGCCCCCUCCACCUGGCCCGUAGAAGCCUGUUCUCUCAGUAGAGGAGGUGGGAAGAAUGACAGAUGGUGAAAGGGGAAAUGAGACCUUCAUCAAAGUGUUAAGGUGGGAAGAGGCUCAAUGGGCAUUUGUUUACAUUUAAAGCUAUUUGUGGAGUUCUUGGUCCCAGGACACCUACUGUCUUCCUCCUUAGAAGGAAACACUGAGAUGUCUCAACCUGGAAAGUGCAUGAGAGUCUCCUGAGGGGCCUUCAAAUGUGCACGCUCCUGUCCCACACACGCGGGCACAGGCUGAGCGGGCCUGGACAGAACCUCACAGAGCUUUGAAAGCUCUGCUCUACACUGGUUCGCAAACGCAGGCCCAGCGCCCCGUUGGGCUCACUUCCUAUCUCCGUAACUAAAGUUUUAUUGGAACGCAGCCAUGCUCACUCAUUCGCUGGCCUGCAAAGCUAAAAUAUUUACCCAGAAAGUGUGCCAACCCCUGGUCCAGACCAGCAGGAACAAUUUGGUGAUGAAAUCAGGCUCCACUCAAAACAAACCAAAAAGGAAACAAGCUGCUACUAACGGCCACUUUUCCCCUAAAACAAUCUGCUUUCAAUAGUGGCAGCGUGGGAGCUGCCUGACCAGCAGAACCAGCGAUUAUGCUGGAAGUCAGUAGCCAUUUCUGGACAGUAGAGGGGCGGUGACGGGGAAGGUGCACAAGGAGCCUUCUGGGUGCUGAGAUGGUCCACAUCUUGACCAUAUGUGUACAAAUUCAUCAAACCGUAUGCUUAAGAUUCGUGUGCUUAACUGUAGAACACUACACCUCAAUAAAAAAUGUUUCUGAUUGAAGCCACUGACCAAGGAAAAAUGUUUGCAAGUCACACUAAAAAUUCUCCAUGUGAUACAGUCCAGCAAAUGCACGCCCCAGGAUUUACCCAAAGAAGUUGAAAACGUACGUCUGCACACAGAUAUUCAUAAUUGUCCAAAAGAGGAAGCAGCUAAGAUGUCCUUUCAUAGGUGAAUGGAUAAACUGUGGCACAUCUACACAAUGGAAUAUUACUCAGCACUAAAAAGAAAUGAGCCAUCAAGCCAGGAGAAGUCAUGGAGGAACCUUAAGUGCAUAUGACUAAGCUAAGGAAGCCAGUCUGGAAAGACUACACACUGUUUGAUUCCAGCUAUAUGACAUUCUGGAAAAGACUAAGCUAUGGAGACAGUAAAAAAGAUUUCUUCGGCUCACAGAUGAAGACAGAAUGAUAGAAUUAGAAUGCCCCCAUGACGCAUGCCCCAAUGUUAAAGAGUAGCAGCUGAGGACACCCAGGCAUUAGGAGCUCCCUGAUGGAAGAACACACUAGAACCACCCAGCCCAGCUGCUCCCAGACCCUGACCUUUAGGCUCAGUGGAGGAGACUUGGGGUUACUAAUUGAGGGAGAGACAGAGAGCAGAGCAGCCAAGGACUGACUUUCCAGAAGGCCGGAGAAGAAGUCAGCAGUAGGAAGGUGCGCAGAGCAGGUGACACCCUGGAGAGGCUGAAGGAGGUAAGGGACCUGGGUUCCUGCUCGUUUUCACCCCUGUUGUGAGUAGGGUGCUGGUUGUUUGUUUGCAUUGGAAGUAAAAAGUAGAAUUCA
Molecule: RNA transcript, 3697 nt
Organism: Myotis daubentonii (Daubenton's bat)
Lineage: Eukaryota; Metazoa; Chordata; Mammalia; Chiroptera; Vespertilionidae
Gene: NUBP1
Gene name: NUBP iron-sulfur cluster assembly factor 1, cytosolic
Exons: 14
Source: RefSeq, a predicted model, not a curated record